RNAcentral lists this transfer RNA (67 nucleotides) under Otolemur garnettii (small-eared galago). It matches the Rfam family "tRNA". From Rfam's summary of the family: Transfer RNA (tRNA) molecules are approximately 80 nucleotides in length. The record is from Rfam by way of RNAcentral. Lineage: Eukaryota; Metazoa; Chordata; Mammalia; Primates; Galagidae.
GGGCCUGUGGCUCAAAGGAGUAGGGCGCCGGCCUCAUAUGCUGGUGGUGGAUUCAAACCCAGCCCCG